GAUGGGAGUAAAUGCCACAGACAGCACCCAAAGCACUCGGUUUUGUGCUGUGUUCCAAAGAGUCAACAAUGAAGGAAAUAGGGCUGGACUCAACAGGCAAGGCCGUCCUGUGAAGAUUUACUUGUUACUGUCCAUACGCCUGAACUGCAACAUUUAUCCAAUGGCCCCGUGCUUCAGUUCUGUACACAUGGAGAUCCUCGGGAAAGUUAUUUUUUUCAUGACAGAUCUCCUUGAUUUAUAUUCAUCUGUAGCCAAGAUCUAGGUGGAAGGUAGCACAUUUACUUUAAGAAUUGCAUUUGCAAUAAUGAAAGAAAUUUUGGAGAAAAAAGGUUCACAUUAUUAAUAUACUUGGCCAUUAAGAUCUUUGGCUAUGAAGAUCAGCCUUAACUCUAGAAUUCCAUUCUGCCAGCCAUUUCCCCCUAGGAUGAAAUACAAAAACUCCUGCUUAAGCUAAGAUGGAGCCAUAAUUGUCUAAGAAUGGUGUGAAAGAAUCAUCUCUGGAGCUUACUGGGAAUUAUACUUUUCAGUGGCUUUCCUCAAGGUACCUCCUCAAGAAAAGAUGUUAUCUUUCAUUCAUACAUAUAUACAUACACAUGUAUGUAGAGAGACUUAUGCACACAUACAACAGUUUUUAAUCUUCAGGCAUACUAAGUACACUGCGCUUAAAAGGAACAAGUUGAGAUGAGCAGGUGAAUGGCCAGAAAAUAUAGAUGACAGCUGAAACUCCUAUUAGCAAAUGCCAGGUAGUGCUAUGAACUGACUCGCUUUGGCUACAUGUUUCCGGGCAGAGAACAUAUAGAACUGGCUUUUGCAUAGCAAAUCUUUGAAGGUCAAAAUCAUCUUCAAACAAGCAAGAUACCGGUAUUUCUUUAAAAUGCAUCCAUGAGGGGUUUUCUUCUCAUAACAGUAGCCACAGCACAUUAACUCUGUUUGCACUGAUAGCCUGUGGUCUCCCCCAUUAAUCAAACUCAAGCACUGGUUGAAGAUAUAAGCCAAAGAAAGUGAAUAGUUAUGUUUUACUCAGUGUCAAAUGCCCAAAAAGCAACUACAGUUUGCCUCAUGACUUUAGUAAAAGUUCUUUUAAUUAAGUGUAGAAUGAGCAAGUGUAAAGCCUGGGUUAACCUGAGUUAUGUUAGUGGUGAAUAGCCUAAGGGAAUUCAUUGUCAAGGAAGUAUCAGUCAACUGACCUCUGGGCUGUGUCUGUAUAUGAGUAAGCAAGCAGAACUGAGGAAGGGGCUCAAACACUGCUUGUUUAAUCCCUA
Molecule: long non-coding RNA, 1262 nt
Filed under: Coturnix japonica (Japanese quail)
Lineage: Eukaryota; Metazoa; Chordata; Aves; Galliformes; Phasianidae
Description: lncRNA (ENSCJPG00005012749.1)
Source: RNAcentral